RNAcentral lists this ribosomal RNA (519 nucleotides) under uncultured bacterium. Its description in RNAcentral is "partial 16S ribosomal RNA". It matches the Rfam family "Bacterial small subunit ribosomal RNA", at positions 355 to 864 of the family's 1533-position model. The record is from RNAcentral.
UGGGGAAUAUUGCACAAUGGGCGCAAGCCUGAUGCAGCCAUGCCGCGUGUGUGAAGAAGGCCUUCGGGUUGUAAAGCACUUUCAGCGAGGAGGAAGGUGGUGAGCUUAAUACGCUCAUCAAUUGACGUUACUCGCAGAAGAAGCACCGGCUAACUCCGUGCCAGCAGCCGCGGUAAUACGGAGGGUGCAAGCGUUAAUCGGAAUUACUGGGCGUAAAGCGCACGCAGGCGGUUUGUUAAGUCAGAUGUGAAAUCCCCGGGCUCAACCUGGGAACUGCAUUUGAAACUGGCAAGCUAGAGUCUCGUAGAGGGGGGUAGAAUUCCAGGUGUAGCGGUGAAAUGCGUAGAGAUCUGGAGGAAUACCGGUGGCGAAGGCGGCCCCCCUGGACGAAGACUGACGCUCAGGUGCGAAAGCGUGGGGCAGCAAACAGGAUUAGAUACCCUGGUAGUCCACGCUGUAAACGAUGUCGAUUUGGAGGUUGUGCCCUUGAGGCGUGGCUUCCGGAGCUAACGCGUUAAA